Non-coding RNA from Oryzias latipes (Japanese medaka), 1608 nucleotides. The record is from RefSeq and is a predicted model, not a curated record. Lineage: Eukaryota; Metazoa; Chordata; Actinopteri; Beloniformes; Adrianichthyidae.
CAUCAUCAAAAAAUGCUAUAAUGGUGUUAAAAACACGUAUUUGAUCUGAGCGGGUCUUUAAAAUGAGGUAGAUCACUGAGUAAACAAACAACUUGAAUUGUUUACUUGCAUUUUUUUCUUUUUUUACUUGUGGAACUGGCAUCAGUAUGCAGGAGAGACACAAACUUUAUCAUAUUUUAGUAGAGCCACAUGUGAGGUGCACUGUGUUGGCUCAUGAUUGCAUUGGCAUAUGUUUGCUUGUCAGACUUUCAUGCACAUGUGAGCUGUACAUAUUUGUGUGCACUCAUGUUUGUGGGCGUAACUUGUUCUAACAGUUUGGGAACAUUUGGAUAGUGGAAGACCACGUGCCUCAUUUGUCAGCAGAUGGGCUGAUCAAAUGCCAGAAAAACUGCAAAACCCUCUAAUCAGCCUGACAAGAGCUGCCAGAUUCAAAAAGGCGUUCUCCUAUAACUGGCUCUAAUAACCUUUUUUCCAGAUUAGUUAUUACAAAAAGGAAUUUCUGUUAAAUUGCAAUUUUGUGAGCUGUCAAGGGGGUGUACCCUGCCUUUGCCCACAAGUGGCUGGGUUAGGCUCUGAAAGGGACAAAACGGGUUUAGACAGUGGAUGGAUGGAUUGCAAAUCUGUUACGAUUUAAAAGGAAGCUACAAAUUAUAAAAAAAAAAAAAGUAAAAAAAUAAUAUUCUAACUUAUCUUUUUUUCCAUGAACCUUUUGUGAUAAUGAAUGCCAUCAUAAUUUUUAGUCUGUCAAAUUGGCUAUAAUUUCUUUAGCUAGAUUAACUGCUGCUCCCACUCUUAUUGGAUCUGUCUUUGUCACGGUGGCCUCUGUCAGUGCUCCUCUCCCUCCCCUCUCUCUGUGCACCUGAAGAUUGAUACCAGCUGUGGACACUUUGCUCAUCACCUCACCGCCUUCUUAAGGGGAUCCAGACCAGCAGUCAUCGCCAGUCCGUUGCCUACUUCGGUUUCCAGAUCCACGAGUGUCCACCUGGGAGAUCUUCAGCUCGCUCCACACCAGCCUCGCCUCGAAGUCACGCCACGUUCCUCGCUCACCUCGGGUCCCAAGACAUCAGACAGUGCGCGGCGAUCCGCACCGCACGUCUCGCUCCGCUCCAGCCACGCCACGCUCUCAGCUUAGCUCUCAAGCCCCUACGAGCCACGCCGACUCCUCGCCAGAGAUCCAAGCCAGCACUAAGUAACAACCAGAACUGUUAUCUCCUGCCUGGAUAUUAAAGACUCUUUGUUAAUUGCUACUUGCCUGAGUUUCCUUCCGGGGUUUACAGCGUCUGGGUCUGCCGCGUCCCUUCCGUCAUGACAGUCUUAUUGUAAAUGGACCUCAAUUUUUUUUGGAAGCGAAACAAAUCCACAGUUGCUGUGUGUCUUUUUUUCUGUUAGGCUCAAUAAAGAAAACAUCAGAGGUUUAAAGUAAAUCCUUUUUAAGGCAAUUUGAAUAUGACACUGGAUGAGGUUAGACUUAUUGGAAAGGCAUGGCGAGGAGAGUUGGAGUGGACCGGAUACAUGCACGGGGAUAAACAAGGAUACUACACAGUCAGAGCACCAAUUCAGUUCAGGUUUACGAGACAGGCCACUCACAAAAGAUAAUACAUACGGCAA